RNAcentral lists this ribosomal RNA (301 nucleotides) under uncultured bacterium. Its description in RNAcentral is "partial 16S ribosomal RNA". It matches the Rfam family "Bacterial small subunit ribosomal RNA", at positions 509 to 807 of the family's 1533-position model. The record is from RNAcentral.
CAGCCGCCACGGUAAUACGAAGGGGGCUAGCGUUGUUCGGAAUUACUGGGCGUAAAGCGCACGUAGGCGGAUCGAUCAGUCAGGGGUGAAAUCCCAGGGCUCAACCCUGGAACUGCCUUUGAUACUGUCGAUCUGGAGUAUGGAAGAGGUGAGUGGAAUUCCGAGUGUAGAGGUGAAAUUCGUAGAUAUUCGGAGGAACACCAGUGGCGAAGGCGGCUCACUGGUCCAUUACUGACGCUGAGGUGCGAAAGCGUGGGGAGCAAACAGGAUUAGAUACCCGCGUAGUCCCUGUCUCUUAUAC